AUUGAACGCUGGCGGCAGGCUUAACACAUGCAAGUCGAGCGAGCGGCGGACGGGUGAGUAAUGUAUGGGAAACUGCCUGAUGGAGGGGGAUAACUACUGGAAACGGUGGCUAAUACCGCAUACCAUCAGAUGUGCCCAUAUGGGAUUAGCUAGUAGGUGGGGUAAUGGCUCACCAAGGCGACGAUCCCUAGCUGGUCUGAGAGGAAGACCAGCCACACGUGAACUUAGACACGGUCCAGACUCCUACGGGAGGCAGCAGUGGGGAAUAUUGCACAAUGGGCGCAAGCCUGAUGCAGCCAGGCCGCGUGUGUGAAGAAGGCCUUCGGGUUGUAAAGUACUUUCAGCGAGGAGGCGUUAUUCGCAGAAUAAGCACCGGCUAACUCCGUGCCAGCAGCCGCGGUAAUUC
This 406-nucleotide ribosomal RNA is filed under the name uncultured bacterium. RNAcentral's name for it is "partial 16S ribosomal RNA". It matches the Rfam family "Bacterial small subunit ribosomal RNA", at positions 30 to 526 of the family's 1533-position model. The record is from RNAcentral.